Long non-coding RNA from Fundulus heteroclitus (mummichog), 630 nucleotides. RefSeq lists it as uncharacterized. NCBI's taxonomy places the organism in Eukaryota, Metazoa, Chordata, Actinopteri, Cyprinodontiformes, Fundulidae. The record is from RefSeq and is a predicted model, not a curated record. The transcript has 3 exons.
GACCCUUUUUCCCGCCCAUUCUGAUGCUUUGUGGGAACUUCAGCAGAUCCACAUCUAUGUGCCGAAAUGCAUUAAGCUGCUGCCACGCGAUGGACUGAUUAGUUCUGUCAACAGGUGUACCUAAUAAAGAGGCCGAUUAGGGCAGACCAAACAACCCAACUCCAGCAACAGAUAUGACCUUCAAGACCAGAUAAAGGACGGAAACUGAUUCUUUGGUCCAAAGAUGAAGUUGUUUGAUGAGAGUAUCAACCAGAGAACAAAAAAACAAAAAACCUGGUGAAGAUGCCGGUUGAAGCCAGAAAGACAUUGUCCUCCUUAUCCACAGCAAAUUAGGUCCUGUAUCAACAUGGGCUGAAAGGCCACUCAGCCAGGAAGAAGCCAUAACCUCAAAAGUGACAUAUAUAACCAGAUACAGCUUGCAAAUGUACUCAGGAACAAAGACCAUCAUUUUUGGAGACAUGUCCUGUGGUCUGCAGUGGUGGCAGCAUCAUGUACGGGUUUUUUGCAGCAGGAGAGAUGGGUGCGCUUAACAAGAUAGUAAAUCCCAAGACAUCAGCCAGAAAGUUAAAGCUUGGGCAAAAAUGUGUCUUUCAAAUGGACACUGACCAUAAGCUUGCAUCCAAAUCAGUU